CAUCAGCCGAGCCGAAAGCGGUGGCAGACAAAACAGGGAGAGAGUUCGCAGCAGGCCGAUGGCCGAACAAGUAUCAGGCAGCACCAAAUUGGAACAUCAAAAUAUCAUGAUCCAAGAGAGUCCAAAACAAAACCAAAAAACGUUGUGGUAAUCAAAAAACUAAAUAAUCCAAACAAGGCACAAAAAAAAGAAAAAGAUAGUCCAGGUGCGAAACGGCAGCCAAACGCGCACAGCGUUCUCGCCCCGGAAGCGGUUCACAUAAUAUGUGAAUAAAGACUCAGGGCUUGUUUCUCCCCUCCAUAAUGCACGCCCUGUGUAUCUUGUUGCAUCUAGCUUUCAAUAAUUGCCCAUAGCAUGUUGUCAUUGUUUCAUCUUGCUUUCAGAGUGUGUCACUUCAGUGUCCCUCUAUGAAAGAUGUAGGCUGCUAAACAGACCUACAAAUUCAUACAACCGUGAGCACACAGCUGUCCUUUGGUACUUUGGGACCUCAUUUCAGAUGCAAAGGAACACAGGCUGUGGUGUCAUGUGAAAGUGUAGGUGUUGGUACCACUACUCCCUGGAACACUUUCCAUCCUUUGACCUCAACACCUUUGAAGGAUUCAAGGACAACAAAAAGAGCUCAUGUUGAACUAGAGGGGGAGGUUGAGGAAAAUGUUUCCUUUGAGGUCUAUAAUCCUAAGGACACAACAUAUGAGCCUGCUGAGUCUGUCACCACUGUGACAGACACAUCACAACAUUUCACACACAGAUUUACGGCUACCCAAGAUGAUGCGAUGUAUAUUGUCUUUGAGAACUGCCUCCUCCAACUUUUUGAUUCUUGUCCAGUUAUCACGUGUCUGUGAUGUUCAGCUCGAAGAAAGGGGACUUUUGUUGCCAUUUACCAAGUCUGCUCACAUUGUCAGUAUGCUAGACAAUGGAAGCCAACCUGUUGUUGGCAGCACCCCUUUAGGCAACCUGCAGUUAUCUGCUGCCAUAUAAUUCACUGGUGCAUCCUUCUUCAAAAUAAAAAAGGUGCUCAGUGCAAUGCAUAUCAAGAUGAUUCAACACAGAACAUAUAGAAAGCAUACCAAAAUGUACCUAGAACCUGCCAUAGUGUAUAAAUGGAAAAAGGAACAAGAAGAAGUCAUGCGGCACAUAAGCCAGGGGGACAAAGUUAUAGGUGGUGGUGAUAUGAGAGCAGACUCAUCAGGACAUUCAGCAAAGUAUGGGAGCUACACUGUAAUGGAUCUUGGUAGCAAUGUCAUUUUAGACAUUCAGCUGGUGCAGCUUUAUUUUGGGGAAAAGGAACAGGAAAGGACCUCACAAGCCAGGAAUCUAACUCGGGUCAACCAUGUACAUGUCAUGAGCGCAGACCCCUGGGCAACGGCUCUGACAGACUGAUUGUGUCUAACUGGAAUUAUUUAUUGCUUUCUUUGUAGAGCACUGAGGUUAGUGGUAGUUACCAUAUGGAGAAGGAAGGAUUAAAAAGAAGCCUUGAAAAUUUGGAUGCCCAUAGGGUGAAGUUGGACUGCAUUAUCACAGACCGUCACCCACAGAUACAGACAUUUUUAAAGGAACAUGACAUCACACAGUUCUAUGAUGUUUGGCAUCUGGAGAAAGGGUUGUCCAAAAAGUUGGACCAGAUUGCCAAAGACAAGGACUGUCAGUUGGUGAAAAAGUGGCAGUGGAGCAUAAAGAAUCAUGUCUACUAGACUGCAUCAUCUUCCAGAACAGGAGAAGAGAAAGUAGCAAAGUGGAAUUCAUUCAUUAACCACAUCCAGGAUGUUCUCAUACAUGACAACCCUGCAUACCCAAAAUGUGAACAUCCACUCCGGACAUCUAAGGAUCGCAGCAAGUGGUUAC
Long non-coding RNA from Myxocyprinus asiaticus (Chinese sucker), 1842 nucleotides. RefSeq lists it as uncharacterized. The transcript has 7 exons. The record is from RefSeq and is a predicted model, not a curated record. Lineage: Eukaryota; Metazoa; Chordata; Actinopteri; Cypriniformes; Catostomidae.